Molecule: ribosomal RNA, 709 nt
Filed under: Proteus mirabilis
Lineage: Bacteria; Pseudomonadati; Pseudomonadota; Gammaproteobacteria; Enterobacterales; Morganellaceae
Description: partial 23S ribosomal RNA
Rfam family: Bacterial large subunit ribosomal RNA
Source: RNAcentral
GAGGGAAAGGCGAAAAGAACCCCGGCGAGGGGAGUGAAAAAGAACCUGAAACCGUGUACGUACAAGCAGUAGGAGCCUCUUUAUGGGGUGACUGCGUACCUUUUGUAUAAUGGGUCAGCGACUUAUAUUCUGUAGCAAGGUUAACCGUAUAGGGGAGCCGUAGGGAAACCGAGUCUUAACUGGGCGAAUGAGUUGCAGGGUAUAGACCCGAAACCCGGUGAUCUAUCCAUGGGCAGGUUGAAGGUUGGGUAACACUAACUGGAGGACCGAACCGACUAAUGUUGAAAAAUUAGCGGAUGACUUGUGGAUGGGGGUGAAAGGCCAAUCAAACCGGGAGAUAGCUGGUUCUCCCCGAAAGCUAUUUAGGUAGCGCCUCGUGAAUUCAUCUUCGGGGGUAGAGCACUGUUUCGACUAGGGGGUCAUCCCGACUUACCAACUCGAUGCAAACUGCGAAUACCGAAGAAUGUUAUCACGGGAGACACACGGCGGGUGCUAACGUCCGUCGUGAAGAGGGAAACAACCCAGACCGCCAGCUAAGGUCCCAAAGUCAUGGUUAAGUGGGAAACGAAGUGGGAAGGCUCAGACAGCCAGGAUGUUGGCUUAGAAGCAGCCAUCAUUUAAAGAAAGCGUAAUAGCUCACUGGUCGAGUCGGCCCGCGCGGAAGAUGUAACGGGGCUAAACCAUGCACCGAAGCUGCGGCAGCGACACA